ACACCAAUAGUGUAGAGGUUAUCACACGGGAUUCUGAUAUAUAUAACAACUUUUUCUGGAUUUCCCGUGACCCAGGUUCGAGUCCUGGUUGGACCU
Rhodocollybia butyracea is the source of this 96-nucleotide non-coding RNA. The record is from the annotation of a GenBank genome assembly. Lineage: Eukaryota; Fungi; Basidiomycota; Agaricomycetes; Agaricales; Omphalotaceae.